UACAGAGGUCUCGAGCGUUAGGCGGAAUCACCGGGCUUAAAGCGUGUGUAGGCGGAUCGGUAAGUACCUUGUGAAAUCCCACAGCUUAACUGUGGAACUGCUUGGUAUACUGCCAGUCUUGAGCCACUUAGGGGCUACCGGAACAAAUGGUGGAGCGGUGAAAUGCGUAGAUAUCGGGAGGAACACCAAUGGCGAAGGCAGCUCGCUGGGACGGUACUGACGCUGAGACGCGAAAGCGUGGGGAGCAAACAGG
This 253-nucleotide ribosomal RNA is filed under the name uncultured bacterium. Its description in RNAcentral is "partial 16S ribosomal RNA". It matches the Rfam family "Bacterial small subunit ribosomal RNA", at positions 524 to 776 of the family's 1533-position model. The record is from RNAcentral.